GACGAACGCUGGCGGCGUGCUUAACACAUGCAAGUCGAACGGCAAGGCCCUGCUUUCGUGCGGUGCUCGAGGGGCGAACGGGUGAGUAACACGUGAGUAACCUGCCCUUGACUUUGGGAUAACUUCAGGAAACUGGGGCUAAUACCGGAUAGGAGCUCCCGCUGCAUGGUGGGGGUUGGAAAGUCUCGGCGGUUGGGGAUGGAUGCGCGGCUUAUCAGCUUGUUGGUGGGGUAGUGGCUUACCAAGGCAUUGACGGGUAGCCGGCCUGAGAGGGUGACCGGCGACAUUGGGACUGAGGGACGGCCCAGACUCCUACGGGAGGCAGCGGUGGGGAGUAUUGCACAGUGGGCGGGAGCCUGAUGCAGCAACGCCGCGGGCGGGAUGACGGCCUUCGGGUUGUGAACCGCUUUCGCCUGUGACGAAGCGUGAGUGACGGUAAUGGGUGAAGAAGCACCGGCUAACUACGUG
Molecule: ribosomal RNA, 468 nt
Filed under: uncultured bacterium
Lineage: Bacteria
Description: partial 16S ribosomal RNA
Rfam family: Bacterial small subunit ribosomal RNA
Source: RNAcentral